This 468-nucleotide ribosomal RNA is filed under the name uncultured bacterium. RNAcentral describes it as "partial 16S ribosomal RNA". It matches the Rfam family "Bacterial small subunit ribosomal RNA", at positions 28 to 507 of the family's 1533-position model. The record is from RNAcentral.
GACGAACGCUGGCGGCGUGCUUAACACAUGCAAGUCGAACGGAAAGGCCCUGCUUUUGUGGGGUGCUCGAGUGGCGAAAGGGUGAGUAACACGGGAGUAACCUGCCCUUGACUUUGGGAUAACUUCAGGAAACUGGGGCUAAUACCGGAUAGGAGCUCCUGCUGCAUGGUGGGGGUUGGAAAGUUUCGGCGGGUGGGGAUGGACUCGCGGCUUAUCAGCUUGUUGGUGGGGUAGUGGCUUACCAAGGCUUUGACGGGUAGCCGGCCUGAGAGGGUGACCGGCCACAUUGGGACUGAGAUACGGCCCAGACUCCUACGGGAGGCAGCAGUGGGGAAUAUUGCACAAUGGGCGGAAGCCUGAUGCAGCAACGCCGCGUGCGGGAUGACGGCCUUCGGGUUGUAAACCGCUUUCGCCUGUGACGAAGCGUGAGUGACGGUAAUGGGUAAAGAAGCACCGGCUAACUACGUG